RNAcentral lists this ribosomal RNA (652 nucleotides) under Extubocellulus spinifer. RNAcentral's name for it is "partial Bacterial large subunit ribosomal RNA". It matches the Rfam family "Bacterial large subunit ribosomal RNA", at positions 1550 to 2212 of the family's 2925-position model. The record is from RNAcentral. Lineage: Eukaryota; Bacillariophyta; Thalassiosirophyceae; Cymatosirales; Cymatosiraceae.
UUUGAGCUGAGACGUGAAUACGAGACGCUAAGGCGUCGAAGUAGUGUAUGUCAGACUUCCAAGAAAAGCUCGCACUGUCAUAGGUAAAAAAUGCCUGUACCAUAACCGACACAGGUGGGUAGGUAGAGUAUACUAAGGGGCGCGAGAUAACUCUCUCUAAGGAACUCGGCAAAAUGACUCCGUAACUUCGGGAGAAGGAGUGCCUUAUUUAUAAGGUUGCAAUAACAAGAUCCAAGCAACUGUUUACCAAAAACACAGGUCUCCGCUAAGUCGUAAGACGAUGUAUGGGGGCUGACGCCUGCCCAGUGCCAGAAGGUUAAAGAAGUUGGUUAGCAUUAGCGAAGCUGAUAACUGAAGCCCUGGUGAACGGCGGCCGUAACUAUAACGGUCCUAAGGUAGCGAAAUUCCUUGUCGGGUAAGUUCCGACCCGCACGAAAGGCGUAACGAUUUGGACACUGUCUCGGAGAGGGACUCGGCGAAAUAGACAUGUCUGUGAAGAUGCGGACUACCUGCACCUGGACAGAAAGACCCUAUGAAGCUUUACUGUAGCUUGAGAUUGACUUCGGGCUUUAUUUGCGCAGGAUAGGUGGGAGGCUAAGAGCAUACUUUUAUGGAAGUAUAGGAGCCGAUGGUGAGAUACCACUCUUGUAAA